AUUGAACGCUGGCGGCAUGCCUUACACUUGCAAGUCGAACGGUAACAGGUCUUCGGAUGCUGACGAGUGGCGAACGGGUGAGUAACACAUCGGAACGUGCCUAGUAGUGGGGGAUAACUACUCGAAAGAGUGGCUAAUACCGCAUGAGAUCUACGGAUGAAAGCAGGGGAUCGCAGGACCUUGUGCUACUAGAGCGGCCGAUGGCAGAUUAGGUAGUUGGUGGGAUAAAAGCUUACCAAGCCGACGAUCUGUAGCUGGUCUGAGAGGACGAUCAGCCACACUGGGACUGAGACACGGCCCAGACUCCUACGGGAGGCAGCAGUGGGGAAUUUUGGACAAUGGGCGCAAGCCUGAUCCAGCAAUGCCGCGUGCAGGAUGAAGGCCUUCGGGUUGUAAACUGCUUUUGUACGGAACGAAAAGCCCUGGGUUAAUACCCUGGGGUCAUGACGGUACCGUAAGAAUAAGCACCGGCUAACUACGUGCCAGCCGCCGCCGUAA
RNAcentral lists this ribosomal RNA (498 nucleotides) under uncultured bacterium. Its description in RNAcentral is "partial 16S ribosomal RNA". It matches the Rfam family "Bacterial small subunit ribosomal RNA", at positions 30 to 523 of the family's 1533-position model. The record is from RNAcentral.